RNAcentral lists this ribosomal RNA (408 nucleotides) under uncultured bacterium. Its description in RNAcentral is "partial 16S ribosomal RNA". It matches the Rfam family "Bacterial small subunit ribosomal RNA", at positions 28 to 526 of the family's 1533-position model. The record is from RNAcentral.
GACGACCGCUGGCGGCGUGCUUAACACAUGCAAGUCGAACGGAGUGGCGAACGGGUGAGUAACACGGGGGUGACCUGCCCUGCACUUCGGGAUAAGCAUGGGAAACUGGGUCUAAUACCGGUUAGUGUGGGAUGGGCCCGGGGCCUAGCAGUUUGUUGGUGGGGUAAUGGCUGACCAAGUCGGCGACGGGUAGCCGGCCGGAGAGGGUGGACGGCCACAUUGGGCCUGAUACACGGCCCAGACUCCGACGGGAGGCAGCAGUGGGGAAUAUUGCCCAAGGGGCGGAAGCCUGAUGCAGCGACGCCGCGUGGGGGAUGACGGCCUUCGGGUGGUAAACUCCUUUCACCAUCGACGCGGUAGAUGGAGAAGAAGCACCGGCUAACUACGUGCCAGCAGCCGCGGUAAUAC